CAGUUAUUCAACAGAGGAGUACGUUUGAAUGCUGUUUGAGUCCAUGACUAGGGAUGGCUUUUCAGGGCUGAUGGAAUCCUUGCAUCUAGAAAGAGGGUCUGAAUUUUAAUCUGGGAGUUAAUUGUUAAUGCUGGCAGAAAUGCUCCAUGGGUCAGAUCCUAAGGCAGGGUCAGGGUGGGGAGAGAAGAUGGAGUUCUGUCUCUUCUGUUGGGAACUAGAGAGAGGAGAAUUGGAACUGUGGAAUUUGUGGGGGACUGGCAUUGUGGGGGACACUACUCUGGAAGAAAUGAGCAGGUCACUGCACUGCAGCCUCAGGCUGAGGUUUAAGGAGAAAGUUCCUAGUCAUAGAUCCCCCUUAAAGGGGUGUGGCCAGGGGUUCCCUACGUUUUUAAUUCCCUUAUAUUAGCCUCACUCUUAGUAAAUCCUCAUCAAAAAAUACAGUCCAGGGGCUGAGGCUGUAGCUCAGUGGUGAAGUGCUUGCCUCGCAUGUGUGAGGCAUUCAGUUCAAUCCUCAGCACCACAUAAAAAUAAAUAAAGAUACUGUGUGUUCAUCUACAACUAAAUAAAUAUUAAAAAAAACACAAAAAACUACAGUCCAGUGUUAGCUGUGUAUUGGAUGAUUCAGGGAGGGGCUCUGUCCAUACUGGGGCCAGAUGGUGUCAAAAUGGCUGUGGUAGCUUAGAGAUCAUUUCCAGAUGGCAGGAGAGCAGCACAGAGAAGCCUAGGCUCUGGUCUUAGACCAAGUGAUGGCUGGUGACAGCCAGGAUAUAUGUUUCUGGAACAUGUUAAUAUUUGCAUAUUUACAAGUCCUUACCUAAGAACUUCUCACAAUUACUUACACAUCACAUUAAAAGCUAGACUUUCUGCAGUGAGAGGUGGGUAAAAGAAAAGUGAUUCUGUGGACUGGAGAGUUGGACCUUUGCAUUGUAGUUUGGUGACAUUUGAUGCCACAACCCGUCAGGAUUUUGACUGGUUUCUUUGGCUCUUUUCAUCAUCACUACUGAAAUUUGGCUUUUCAAAUUAGUGGGAGAAAAGGCCCUGUUUGCAGCCUCAGUUGUACAGUCCCACUGGCAGUUUUGCCUCAUGGUACUGCAGUGUGGUGACUCACACAUCAGCUUUUAGUUCUGAGUAAGAGCUUGGGGCCUGUUGUGUGGAAUAGUGGUGCGGGAUCUGCAAAACUGGCCCAGGCUCUGGCAUGUAGUUACCUCAACUACCAAGUUGUUUGGAAGGCCCAGUGUGGCCAGAGGGCUCCCUUUUGUGGGUGGUAAUGCCAGCAUCACAAGCUUGAACUGCAGCCUGGGAAAGUCAUGGAAACCUGCUGCAGAGUGUGUAGAAAGCAUGUUUAUUGGAUCUUACAUCUCACACAUUAAUGAAUUAUGAAUUAUUCCAACACUUUGGAUGUUUGAAUGUUCAGACAUUUAAGAAGAAUUAAAACAUUUAAAACCAAAGAAAUCAGUGGUAAUGCUGUUGAUGUCAAGUUCUGUGGAGUGACGCAAGUCUUAUUAAAAAAUACUGUGGAGUACUUGACAAAAAGUUGUUUCUUCUAGAGGGAGUCCAUAGUAACUACUCAGCUUUCCUGUUUCAGAGCCCUCAGGUUUCUUUACUGGUUAAGAUGCUUAUUAGUAAAUGGGAAGAAGCCCAAGCACCAUGAGGCCUCAGCCAUGGUGAGGAUUGGACACAGAAGCUCUGACUCUUCUUUCCAGAGCAAAUCCCUGUGGUUACAUUUGGGGGGUACACCCUAGGGGCCCCAGUCUAGGGGAUCAACUUCAUGAGUUAUGUUGUCAAAGCUCACUUCCUGAUCCUACUGCUAAAUUCUCUCUUCCCCCAAUGGAUCUACUUUCCAAAAUAAACCUUCCAGUGUCUGCAUACAUUGCCAUAUGGGGUGGCAAGCCAUUGCACACAAGAAUCUUAAAACCACAGGAUGAACAAAUGGGAAGAUUAUGACCUGUGUAGGGUCCUUACCUGUUACCACCUCUCAAGGAGGAAAUGCAGGGGAGAGGCUGGUUUUGUGCCAUCCUUUCCAGCUACAUAAUAAUAAGAUGAUGAACUAGAAUGCUCAAACUAUUAUUGAUAUUUGAAUAUUGGUUGUAUUCGUGCUCUGUGCUAAGCAUUAUACCUGCAAUUUAAAAAGUCCUUACAACAACACAUAUGAGAACACCAAGAUUUACAUAGCUUGCCAAAGUCACACAGUAAGUACAUAACAGAUUUGAACUGGUGUCUGUUCUACUCCAGAUUUUGCACUCUUUAGAAAGUAACUAAUUAUACACAAAUAAGGCUUGUGGAGACCUGGCUUUAGGCAGACUGAAGAGCUUGUCUUACACCAACCCUUCUGCUGAGAAAAUUGGAAAAGCCAGAAUAUGCAUACUUAUUAAGGCACUGGAGGGUUGUUGAGAAAGUAAGAGCCAAUAUUCCAGAGUUGAAACCUACAAUUGGUGUCAUUUUUUUCCCCUCAAAGCACUUGCUAAUUCAAGGACAGUGGCUGAGAAACUGAAUAAAUCUUGUAAGACUUUUUGGUAACAAAGCCCAGGAUCCGAGUUAUUCUGAGGUUCUUGAAUUGUCUGGAAAAUGAUGAAGACACUAAAAUAGCAAUCAAUAAAGCAAGGGGGCACAUUUCAGUUUCUGUGGUAUUUCCUAAAACAAUGUAAGAGUAACAAGAUAAUAGCUGGGGAAUUUGAAAUAGCAAAGUAAUCCAAAAGAAGUCAAGUAAGGAGUAAAAGCGCCAUAGAACCAAUGGGAGCAAGAGAAAACAUUAAGAAGGUUGAUUUAAACCCAGAUGCAUCAGUAUGUAUAUCAAGCACAUGUGGAUUAAACAUUCCAUUUUAAAGACCAUAUUGUCAGCCUGGAUAAAGAACAAAACUGAACAACCUGAGACUUAAAAACAACACAGCUUAAAUAUCAGGAUACAAAAGAAUUGAAGGGACAAAGAUGAGAAGAGACCUAUCAUGUAAGUGAAGCAAAAAGAAGUAGGUAGGUGGUGCUUGCCUGAAAUCCCAGUGGCUCAGUAGGAUGAGGCAGGAGGAUCACAAUGUUCAAAGCCAGCCUCAGCAACUUAGUGAGACCCUAAGAAACUCAGACCCUAUCUCAAAAUACAAAAUAAAAAGGGCUGGGGAUAUGGCUCAGUGGUUGAGCGCCCCUAGAUUCAAUCCCCACUACCCCCCCCCCAAAAAAAAAAGCAGGUGUGUUCUAGAUAGUAGGGGAUUAGGGGAUCAGAUAAGAGACACUUUCUAGGGCCAGGGGAGUAUUUUGUAAUGAUAAAAGGUUCAUUUUAGCAGAGUAUCCAGCCUGCAGAGGUAAUUGAGCUGCCUGUGAGGUUCACAAAGGUGCCCAUAGCCCUGCCUCACCUUGGAGCUGGUCAGAGAGGAACUAGAUUAAAAAGUAUACAGGGAGACAGGAGGAAGCAAGAGAGAGAUUAGAGAAAAACACAAGGGUGGAGCAUACUAUUAAAAGGCCAAGAAAUGCAACAUUUUUUUUUUUUUUGGUAAAUAUGAUGUGAGUCCUAUGCAUGCCCCCUGCCCUAAUUUUGGGGGUCAGAAUCACUAAUAAAUGUUAAUGUUAGCUCAAAAUUAUCAAAAGCUUCCUGAUAUAAGGGCUUUGCAUAUGUUCAUUUAGUAUAUCCUCACAAAAGCCCUGGAGGUUUCCAUUUCACAGAUGGGAAAACCCGCACUGUUAGAGCGUGCAAAGCAAGUCAAUGUGGUGCCAGAGUCCCUGCUCUUGGUCAUGGAGCAGACUCCAGAUUUUAUAAUCUGACUCUGGAUAAAUGUUAUCAUUUAAAAAAAUUAGUGUUUUGUGGCUAUUCAUGAUAGAUUCAUUGUGGUAUAUUCAUAUACAUACAUAGGAAGGUUAGGUUCAUUCCAUUAUUCUCUUAUUCCAUCCCUCCACCUUUCCCUCAGUUCCCUUCAUCUAGUACACCAAUCUGUCUUCUAUUUUGAUGGAAUUCCCUCUCCCUUUUUUUUUCUUUCUCUUUUUCUCUUUUAUUUUGUACUAAUUUCCAAAUAACAAAGAAAAUAUUUGACCUUUGACUUGGGGACUGGCUUAUUUCACUCAGAACGAUAAUCUCCGGUUUCAUUCAUUUACCAACAAAUGCCAUAAUUUUAUUCUUAUUUAUGGCUGAGUAGUAUUCCAUUGUGUAUAUAUCACACUUUCUUUAUUCAUUCAUCCGUUGAUGGGUUCCUGGAUUGGGUCCAUAGUUGUGAAUUGUGCUGCUAUAAACACUGAUGUGAACGCAUCCCUAUAGUAUACUGAUUUUAGAUCUUUUGGUCCCAAGGAGUGGGAUAGCUGGAUCAUAUGGUGGUUCUAUUCCUAGGUUUUUAGGUGUUUCGAUGCUGCUUUCCAGAGUGGUUGCACCAAUUCUCACUUCCACCAACAAUGUAUGACUAUACCUUUUCACCCACAUCCUCACUAGCAUUAUUAUUUGUAUUCUUGAUAAUUGCCAUUCUGACAGGAGUAAGAUGAAAUCUGGAUAUAGUAUUGAUUUGCAUUUCCCUGAUUGCUAGAGAUGUUGAAUAUAUUUUGUAUAUUUGUUGGCCAAUUGUAGUUCUUUUGUUUAGUUCUUUUGCCUGUGUAUUAACUGGGGUUUUUUUGUUGUCAAAUUUUUGAGGUUUUUAUAUAUUCUGUGUAUUAAUGUCCUAUCUGAGGAGCAGGUGGCAAAGAUCUCCCAUUCUAUAGGCUCUGUCUUCAUGCUCUUCAUUGUUUCCUUUGCUAUGCAGAAGCUUUUUAAUUUGAUAUCAUCCCACUUAUUGAUUUUUGGUUUUAUUUCUUGAUUUUUUAGGAAUAUUAUUAAAGAAGUCAGUUUCUGUGACAUAUGUUGAGAUGUUUGGCUUAAAUUUUCUUCUAGCUAUUGUAGAAUUUUCUGGUCUAAUUCUUAGGUCUUUGAUCCACUUUGAGUUGACUUUUGGGCAGAAUGAGAGAUAGACAUAUGGAUUUCCAGUUUUUCCAGCACCUUUUGUUGAAAAAGACUAUCUUUUCUCCAAUGAAUGUUUUUGGCACCUUUGUCUAGUAUCAGAUAAUCGUAUUUAUAUGGGUAUGUCUUUGUGUCUUCUAUUCUGUUCCAUUUACUGGUACCAUGCUGUUUUUGUUACUGUAGCUCUGUAGUGUAUUUUGAGGUCUGGUAUUGUUAUGCCUCCAGCAUCAAUCACUCUUUUUGCUCAGGAUUGCUUUGGCUACUCUGAGUCUGUUUUUUUUUCCAAGUGAAUUUUAGAAUUGCUUUUUGUAGUUCUGUGAAGAAUGGUAUUGGUGUGUUCUUUCCAUCUUCUAAAGUAUUUUACAAUUUCUACCUUCAGUGUUCUUUAGUUUUCAUUGUAGAGGUCCUUGACAUCCUUCAUUAGAUUGAUUCCCAAGUAUUUUAUUUUGUUUAUGUUAUUGUGAAAGGAAAAUGUUCCCAAUUUCUUUUUCAGGAGAUUCAUUAUUGUAGCAACAUGAUUGAUUUAUGUAUGUUGAUCUUAUAUCUUGAUACUUUACUAAAUUGUUUUUUAUCAGCUCUAGAAACUUCUGGUGGAGUUUUUUGGGUCUUCUAAAUAUAGGAUCAUCAGCAAACAAAUAAUUUGAGGAGUUCUUAGCCUAUUUGUAUCCCGUUAGUUCCUUUCUCUUGCCUGAUUGCUCUGGCUAGAGUUUCAAUGUUGAAUGGAAUGAUGGGACUGGGCAUCCUUGUUUUUAGAGGAAAUGCUUUUAGGUUUUUUUUAUUCAGAAUAAUGUUGGCCUUGGAUUUGUCCUAUAUAACCAGUGCAAUGUUGAGAUAAGUUUCUUCUAUCCCUAGUUUCUCUAGUGUUUUAAACAUGAAUGGGUGUUGUGCUGUACUUUGUCAAAGGCUUUCUCUGCAUCUAUUGAGAUAGUCAUGUGAUUCUUGUCCUUAAAUCUACUUACAUGGUGAAUUACAUUUAUUGAUUUGUAUUAUGUUGAACCAACCUUGCAUUCCUGGGAUUUUUAAAAUGUGUUUUGCAUACAGUUUGCCAAUAUUUUAUUAAGAAUUUUUGCAUCUAUUUCACCAAGUAUAUCUGCCUGAAGUUUUCUUUCCUUGAUGUGUUUUUGUCUGGUUUUGGUAUCAGGGUGAUACUGAAUUCAUAGAAUGAAUUUGGCAGUGAUUCCUCUUUUUUCCUUUCAUGGAAUUAUUGAGGAGGAUUGGUAUAGUUCUUUUUUAAGGGUAUGGCAGAACACAGCUGAGAAUACAUCCAGUCCUGGGCUUAUCUUAAAGUUUGAAGGCUUUUUUUUUUUAAAUGUGUUUUUUUAGUUGUAGAUGGAUACAAUACCUUUUUUAUUUAUUUAUUUUUGUGUGGUGCUGAAGAUCGAACCCAGUGCCUCACACAUGCUAGGUGGGUGCUCUAACACUGAGCCACAACCUCCAGCCCCUAAUUUGAAGGCUUUUUUUGGAUAGCUGCUUCAAUUUCAUUAUUUGAUAUUGAUCUGUUUAGAUUUUUUUAUACACUCAUGGUUCAAUUUGGGUAGGUUAUAUAUCUCUAGGAAUUUGUUAAUAUCUUCAUGAUAUUCUAGUUUAUUGAGAGUAAACUUUCAAAAUAGUUAUUGAUGAUCCUCUGGAUUUCAUCUAUGAUGAUGUUCCCUUUUUC
Molecule: long non-coding RNA, 6557 nt
Filed under: Marmota monax (woodchuck)
Lineage: Eukaryota; Metazoa; Chordata; Mammalia; Rodentia; Sciuridae
Source: RNAcentral